RNAcentral lists this ribosomal RNA (207 nucleotides) under uncultured bacterium. RNAcentral's name for it is "partial 16S ribosomal RNA". It matches the Rfam family "Bacterial small subunit ribosomal RNA", at positions 568 to 774 of the family's 1533-position model. The record is from RNAcentral.
CGUGCAGCCGGAGAGGCAAGUCAGAUGUGAAAUCCUUGGGCUUAACCCAGGAACUGCAUUUGAAACUGUCUCCCUUGAGUGUCGGAGAGGUAACCGGAAUUCCUAGUGUAGCGGUGAAAUGCGUAGAUAUUAGGAAGAACAUCAGUGGCGAAGGCGGGUUACUGGACGACAACUGACGGUGAGGCGCGAAAGCGUGGGGAGCAAACA